Molecule: small RNA, 29 nt
Filed under: Bombyx mori (domestic silkworm)
Lineage: Eukaryota; Metazoa; Arthropoda; Insecta; Lepidoptera; Bombycidae
Description: ovarian small RNA-28441
Source: RNAcentral
UCGAUAUCGAGAAGGACCGCGACCGUGUA